CAUUGUUUUCCCCCUCCCACAGCUCCCACAAGAAUAGAACACAAAAAAAAAGUAACAAAGCAAAUAAAGAAAAUCAUCUUCCUUCUCUAUUAUUUCUAUAAUUAAUGUUUUAUAAAAUAGACAAGGAUCCAUAUGCCAAACAGAUAGAUAUUCAGAAAACGAGCACACUCAUGUAGAGAGGGGAAUAAAAAAAUUCCGAAGAUGUGGAAUCAGGGCAAUUUGUUAUGGAGAAAGCAUGCAUAAUCAAUCAAGCAGGUCAAUUUAUAGCCGAUGAUAAUAUAAAGAGUGGUGCACGGAAUGAAUCAAAGUCUCCCUGGGCCCAUUGAGCUAGGCCACUUAUGGGUCAGAGCCUGGUUUGAGUCUUUUGGGCGGGUAACUAUAUGAGUUCAGACUAUGUUCGCUGAGCUUGACUCAAAUCAACCCAGAGCAGAAAUAAAGUCACCCCUAAUUCCAAGGUUAUCUCAAUCAGGCCUUGCUCAACUAUAGGUCCUUCCUUGUCCACGAUCAUUGUCCAUCAAGUAGCACCUUAAGCAUUCAUUUCCUACCCUUUCCCUGAGUUCAUUUCCUUGUCGAUAGCUCCUUGAUCAAACAUGACCAUGAGUGGGACAAUUCCAUGGAGGAUGAGUCAUUGCCAUAGCUGGCGAUGGUCACAGAGGGUCACAAACUUCUCAAGAUGUCUAAAAGAGCAUCCGAUAAAGAGCCUAGGCAGCAAGGCGGGUGCCCAUGUGGUGAUGUCGCAGCCAACUUGAAGCUUUCUCUUCUUUUUUUUUUCUUUUUUGUCCCCUCCUCCUCUUUAUGAUGAUUGAUUACUGGCUCUUCUUCUUUCCUUUUUCACUUAUUUUGCAAAAGAAAAAGGAAUAACAAUGGAGAAACCUAGACGAAAAGUGGAUGAAACCAUUGUCUCAUACACAUACCCCCUCCUCCUAUACCAGAUGCAUAAUACCUUAAGAGUCUACUAUUAUUUGCCCUCAGAGAAGUAUUCCAUUAGUAUUAACAGAAUCACACCUUGUCCUGUGUGUACAUGGCAUGUGAGGGCACAGAAAACCAUAAACGCUCUUCUCAAGAGCCAACACACCUUAUUCUUAAGCCAAGCCUGUGAAUCAAGGUGAGAUAAGAGAGUUUGAGGAAUUUUUAUAUAUUUGGAACAGUGGAUCUAACUAUGACAUGCAAGAACUAAGCUAGGAAGCUGAAUGACUAGCAAUUUUACCUAAAGAGGAUAAUGUUAGUAUAAACAAAAGAAAAAAUGCCAUCCAUCAAUUAUGUCGGACUCCAACACACAAAUUAUAAGCCAAAAAGACAAACUUGUCAUAGUAUUUAAGCCAUGAGAGGUUCUUCUGUAAGGAAGAAGAUCACGGCACCCUUGUCCAACAUAAAGCAGCUCUAGUUAUACACUACUGAAAUAACUGAUGCAUUGAUCUCAACGAAAUCCAGAUCUUGACAUCACUUACCAAAAUUUGUCAUUUUGGUGUCAAUCAUCCAAACAUGUUUUCUUUGAUUCCUGGUCACACCGAAACCAGUUUAAUGAUGCACAUGUUUCAUUCAUUUCGAAAAAGAUAAUAUACCACAAGUUUCAUACCCCAUUUUUAGGUGGUUUAGCCCAUCUUUAGCAAAUACGGUUUCACUUUUUGUCCUCCAUUAAGAAAAAUAUGCAAGAUAAAUUUCUCUCAUCCAGUGCAUGCUUGGCAUUCUCACAAUGGAUCAGUGUUGCAUCCUACAUUUUCAGCUUUCUUAAAGGUUCUUCAGGUCAUAACUUCCAUUUUUUUUUCCAGUCAACAUUGACUUUCAAUCAGUGGAAUUCUCAAUCAUUUUUUGUUCAAACAAAGAAACUAAAUCACAAAUCAUUCGCCUUUUCGUUGAAGUUUUAGAUUUUGAUAAUUAGCAUUCUUGAAUUCACUUAAUCGUACCUUCUAAUUUGACAUAUUUUGAAGAUGCACCUUAACGGACAAAUCAUAAUAAGACAAAAGACUACAAUAAGAAGCCAAUGAUGUUUCAAUCAUCUGCCUGUAGAAGAUUCUAAUUGGUGAAGCAUAGCUAAUGUCAUUGUUUCCAGCAUUAUUCAAAUAAUGUCCUAUGAACUGGUUUUGUCCCAAGUUUCGGCUCACAACUACCUAGCCCAUAGCCUGCUAACAAUGACAAUAUAAGUUUAGCUAAAACACAGACAAAUUAUUUCUCCUUGGAACAAAUUAUAUCCUCUCAAAUAGGAGUAUCUCCAGACAACUCCCAACCCUAAAACUUUAAGAAGUGAUUCACUAGUCCUAAUCCUGAAAAAGAGGAAGGUGCAUGCCUCAUGCACUUGCUCAGCCCCAGAUUGUCCUGUAAUCAAACCCAGCCUGCAGCCUACUCAUACAAAAAUCCAUACCUGACCACAAUAUAGGCCAACUUAACGGAAGAACACAACUAAUAACAGAGCAGAAGAGAGAGAUGCAUACACUUGUUUCUUACAAAAUUUUGUAUUUUCACAAAAUAUUGCUUCAGCCAACAACUUAGGUAUCAAUUCUCGGUACUACUGCGUUUAGGUAUGUAAACCAUUUAGGAAUCCGACAUUUACCCAACAAUGUGGGUGGUCUCUCUUUCCAUGCACCACCAUACUAUCAAUAACACAUUUUGACACUUAGACAUCAAGCAACAACCUCAGAAUUUAAAAUAGAAGAUGCAACUCAGAUUACUGCAAAACCACACUCUACUGUUAAACUCCACUGUAACAUGGAAGAGUGACACCAGAAAUUUAGCAUUCAUGCAUGUUGUUAGGAACAAAAUCAAUCAUGACUCUGAUCUUCUCAAUCUAAUUCUUCCUCGGACCACAUUAAAAAUCCUAGUCUACCUUAGCCAAGACCAAUUGUCUGCAAUAUAAUAACUAGUACAAUCUUAACAUCAACCUAGUUGCACCGCAUAAAUCUACCCCUCAAAACCCCUCCUGAAUACAGUAUAUAUGAAUGACAAAGUGUGAACGUUGAUCUGGGUAAUUAUCUACACACUGUAUUUAAUUUUAAGGCAUUGGGAAAACAUGAAAUAAAUAUGGUGGAUGGUGCAAAUAUUAGUCUAAUUUUAAGAUCCUUAGGUUCUUCUCAGUAAGUGUUCAGCACGAGCUUAAAAUCUUAGAUCUAUAGUUCUUGAACCCCAACUAGUAAUAGAUUUCCCCGGCUCUCAAGAUCAUGACGUAACAUAUACUUAGGCCCUUAUUCUUUUCACCAGAUUGGACACAAGAUUCAAAGAAACAAACAACGUUAUACAGAUUCACAAACUGGGAGAAUAGUUCCAACCAUUGACUUUCGGAGGCUCAAAUUUGUUGACAAUAGAUAUGUAGUAGCAUCUUAACUAAAUGAUCAAUUUACCCAGCCAGAAAAGCCAAGUUGAAACAGAGAAAAGACUCAAGGUGGUCCAUCGUUCACAAGACCCUUAGGUUCUUCUGUCAAAUGUUCAGCACCAGCCUAAACUCCUGGAUCUAUAGUUCUUGAAUCGCAUUCAACGAUAGAUUUCCCCAUUUCUCAAGAUCAUGACAUACCAUAUGGUUAGACCCAUAUUCCUUGAUCAGAUUGGCACAGAAGAAUCAAGAAACUACACGAAUCGAUUUAAAAAAAAAAGCGUCGUACAGAUUUAUAAACUGGGAAUACAUCGUCAUGGCAGAAGAGAAUAAACUCCAAGAAAUAACAAGAACCAAGAAUAUGACCACAUAGCAUGGAAGAUUGGGUACCUCGUCCAGGUGUCCGGAUCGACCCAUUGGCGAUGGGGAGCCGCAUGGUGGGGGGAGAAACCCGAGACAUCUGCCUGCGAGAGAACCGACAUCCCCCCGCCCCCUUGCGCGGCAAGACCAGUGGAUCCGCGGUGGCGAUCGUACCCGGUUUCGCCCGCUCCUUCUUGGAUCCAAGGACGUCCGCAGAACUGCGAUCGAGGGAACUCGAAAGAGGGUUUCGAUCGAACAAACUUGGGUGGAUCGGAAAGCAACGAGGAGGGAAAAGGGAUGCAAACCGUUUAAAUCGUGACGACGCUAAUCUUUUUCCCUUCGAAUCCUCGUUUCUUUGCGUACGGAAAC
RNAcentral lists this long non-coding RNA (4030 nucleotides) under Musa acuminata (dwarf banana). RNAcentral's name for it is "long non-coding RNA (MACU_LNC004843)". Lineage: Eukaryota; Viridiplantae; Streptophyta; Magnoliopsida; Zingiberales; Musaceae. The record is from RNAcentral.